RNAcentral lists this small nuclear RNA (101 nucleotides) under Microtus ochrogaster (prairie vole). Lineage: Eukaryota; Metazoa; Chordata; Mammalia; Rodentia; Cricetidae. The record is from RNAcentral.
GUGCUUACUUUGUCAGCACAAAUGUGAAAAUUGGAAUGUAACAGAAAAUAUUAGAAUGGCUCCUGUGCAAGGAUAACAUUUGUAAAACAUUGCAUAUUUUU